AGUGAACGCUGGCGGUAGGCUUAACACAUGCAAGUCGAACGGCAGCACAGUAAGAGCUUGCUCUUACGGGUGGCGAGUGGCGGACGGGUGAGGAAUACAUCGGAAUCUACUCUUUCGUGGGGGAUAACGUAGGGAAACUUACGCUAAUAUCGCAUACGACCUACGGGUGAAAGCAGGGGAUCUUCUGACCUUGUGCGAUUGAAUGAGCCGAUGCUGGAUUAGCUAGUUGGCGGGGUAAAGGCCCACCAAGGCGACGAUCCGUAGCUGGUCUGAGAGGAUGGUCGGCGACAUUAGAGCGGGACCAGGGACAAGGCGACUGAGAGAGGCAGCAGUGGGGUAUAUGAGACAGUAGGCGCGAGCAUGAUACAAUGGGAGCGCGUGGGAGGAAGAGGCCUUCGGGGUGUGAUGACCUUUUGUUGGGAAAAAAAAGCAGCAGGUUAAUACCCCGCUGUAGUGACGGUACCGGAAAAAUAAGCACCGGCUAACUUCGUG
RNAcentral lists this ribosomal RNA (492 nucleotides) under uncultured bacterium. Its description in RNAcentral is "partial 16S ribosomal RNA". It matches the Rfam family "Bacterial small subunit ribosomal RNA", at positions 30 to 507 of the family's 1533-position model. The record is from RNAcentral.